This 460-nucleotide ribosomal RNA is filed under the name uncultured bacterium. RNAcentral describes it as "partial 16S ribosomal RNA". It matches the Rfam family "Bacterial small subunit ribosomal RNA", at positions 338 to 795 of the family's 1533-position model. The record is from RNAcentral.
CCUACGGGAGGCAGCAGUGAGGAAUAUUGGUCAAUGGACGAGAGUCUGAACCAGCCAAGUAGCGUGAAGGAUGACUGCCCUAUGGGUUGUAAACUUCUUUUAUAUGGGAAUAAAAUGUUCCACGUGUGGGAUUUUGUAUGUACCCUAUGAAUAAGGAUCGGCUAACUCCGUGCCAGCAGCCGCGGUAAUACGGAGGAUCCGAGCGUUAUCCGGAUUUAUUGGGUUUAAAGGGAGCGUAGGUGGAUUGUUAAGUCAGUUGUGAAAGUUUGCGGCUCAACCGUAAAAUUGCAGUUGAAACUGGCAGGCUUGAGUACAGUAGAGGUGGGCGGAAUUCGUGGUGUAGCGGUGAAAUGCUGAGAUAUCACGAAGAACUCCGAUUGCGAAGGCAGCUCACUGGACUGCAACUGACACUGAGGCUCGAAAGUGUGGGUAUCAAACAGGAUUAGAUACCCUAGUAGUC